RNAcentral lists this unclassified non-coding RNA (279 nucleotides) under plant metagenome. Its description in RNAcentral is "partial contains small subunit ribosomal RNA, internal transcribed spacer 1, and 5.8S ribosomal RNA". The record is from RNAcentral.
UUUCCGUAGGUGAACCUGCGGAGGGAUCAUUAUUGUAUAACCAACGUGCAAGGCCUUUCGCUGACCGGACCUAUCGUUCACGCCCGAGGAACCUCACACCCAUCCAUCUCACCCCUCUGGGCACCACCGCGGGGGUCCACCUUUGGCGUUUUCGGCAGGGGGCUUAGGGUUUCACACAAACUUUGUAAGCAAUAUUGAAUAUAUUUGUUGUUUUUGCGAUGGCGCAAUCAAAAAAACUUUCAACAAGGGAUAUCUUAGCUCUCGAAUCGAUGAAGAACA